This 1437-nucleotide ribosomal RNA is filed under the name Thalassolituus maritimus. Its description in RNAcentral is "Oleibacter marinus partial 23S ribosomal RNA". It matches the Rfam family "Bacterial large subunit ribosomal RNA", at positions 1 to 1491 of the family's 2925-position model. The record is from RNAcentral. Lineage: Bacteria; Pseudomonadati; Pseudomonadota; Gammaproteobacteria; Oceanospirillales; Oceanospirillaceae.
GUUAUAUGGUCAAGUGACUAAGCGUGCACGGUGGAUGCCUUGGCAUCUGGAGGCGAUGAAAGACGUAGUAGCCUGCGAUAAGCUUCGGUGAGGUGGCAAACAACCUUUGACCCGGAGAUCUCUGAAUGGGGAAACCCACCUGUCAUCAGGCAGGUAUCCUUAACUGAAUACAUAGGUUAAGGAGGCGAACCGGGAGAACUGAAACAUCUAAGUACCCCGAGGAAAAGAAAUCAACCGAGAUUCCCUUAGUAGCGGCGAGCGAACGGGGACCAGCCCUUAAGCUGUUUUGUGAUUAGUAGAACGCUCUGGAAAGUGCGGCCAUAGUGGGUGAUAGCCCCGUAUACGAAAAUCUAUUUACAGUGAAAUCGAGUAGGUCGGGACACGUGUUAUCCUGACUGAACAUGGGGGGACCAUCCUCCAAGGCUAAAUACUCCCAGAUGACCGAUAGUGAACCAGUACCGUGAGGGAAAGGCGAAAAGAACCCCUGUGAGGGGAGUGAAAUAGAUCCUGAAACCGUGUACGUACAAGCAGUGGGAGCCGAUUUAUUCGGUGACUGCGUACCUUUUGUAUAAUGGGUCAGCGACUUAAUGUAUGUGGCAAGGUUAAGCAAAUUGCGGAGCCGUAGGGAAACCGAGUGUUAACUGCGCGUCCAGUCGCAUGCAUUAGACCCGAAACCGGGCGAUCUAUCCAUGAGCAGGUUGAAGGUUGAGUAACAUCAACUGGAGGACCGAACCCACUGUCGUUGAAAAGCCAGGGGAUGACUUGUGGAUAGGAGUGAAAGGCUAAUCAAGCCCGGAGAUAGCUGGUUCUCCUCGAAAACUAUUUAGGUAGUGCCUCGUGUCUAACCAUGGGGGGUAGAGCACUGUUAAGGCUAGGGGGUCAUCCCGACUUACCAACCCUUUGCAAACUCCGAAUACCCAUGAGUUCAAUCACGGGAGACACACGGCGGGUGCUAACGUCCGUCGUGGAAAGGGAAACAACCCAGACCGUCAGCUAAGGUCCCAAAGUUACAGUUAAGUGGGAAACGAUGUGGGAAGGCUAAAACAGCUAGGAGGUUGGCUUAGAAGCAGCCACCCUUUAAAGAAAGCGUAAUAGCUCACUAGUCGAGUCGGCCUGCGCGGAAGAUAUAACGGGGCUCAAACUGUACACCGAAGCUACGGAUGCACUUAGUGCAUGGUAGAGGAGCGUUCUGUAAGCCGUUGAAGGUCAAGGUGUGAACCAGGCUGGAGGUAUCAGAAGUGCGAAUGCUGACAUGAGUAACGAUAAAGGGAGUGAAAAACUCCCUCGCCGGAAACCCAAGGGUUCCUGUCCAACGUUAAUCGGGGCAGGGUUAGUCGGCCCCUAAGGCGAGGCUGAAAAGCGUAGUCGAUGGGAAACAGGUUAAUAUUCCUGUACUUGUUUGUAGUGCGAUGGGGAGACGGAGAAGGCUAGGCCAGC